Molecule: ribosomal RNA, 435 nt
Filed under: uncultured bacterium
Lineage: Bacteria
Description: partial 16S ribosomal RNA
Rfam family: Bacterial small subunit ribosomal RNA
Source: RNAcentral
AGCGAACGCUGGCGGCAGGCUUAACACAUGCAAGUCGAGCGGGCACUUUCGGGUGUCAGCGGCGGACGGGUGAGUAACGCGUGGGAACGUGCCCUCUGGUUCGGAAUAACUCAGGGAAACUUGAGCUAAUACCGGAUACGCCCUUUUGGGGAAAGGCUUGCUGCCGGAGGAUCGGCCCGCGUCUGAUUAGCUAGUUGGUGAGGUAACGGCUCACCAAGGCGACGAUCAGUAGCUGGUCUGAGAGGAUGAUCAGCCACACUGGGACUGAGACACGGCCCCGAAUCCUACGGGAGGGAGGAAGGGGGAAUAUUUGGCAAUGGGGGCAAGGCUGAUCCAGCCAUGCCGGGGGAGGGAUGAAGGGCUUAGGGGUGGAAAGCUCUUUUAACCGGGAAGAAUAUGACGGUAACGGAGGAAUAAGCCCCGGCUAACUUCGUG